RNAcentral lists this ribosomal RNA (242 nucleotides) under uncultured bacterium. RNAcentral's name for it is "partial 16S ribosomal RNA". It matches the Rfam family "Bacterial small subunit ribosomal RNA", at positions 92 to 334 of the family's 1533-position model. The record is from RNAcentral.
CAACCGGCGAACGGGUGCGUAACACGUGAGCAACCUGCCGCGCUCUGGGGGAUAGCCGGCCCAACGGCCGGGUAAUACCGCAUACGUUCUUUGGGGGGAGUCCCCUGAAGAGGAAACCUCCGGGGGAGCGCGAGGGGCUCGCGGCCUAUCAGCUAGUUGGCGGGGUAAUGGCCCACCAAGGCGACGACGGGUAGCUGGUCUGAGAGGAUGGCCAGCCACAUUGGGACUGAGAGACGGCCCAG